Molecule: long non-coding RNA, 4535 nt
Organism: Vitis vinifera (wine grape)
Lineage: Eukaryota; Viridiplantae; Streptophyta; Magnoliopsida; Vitales; Vitaceae
Exons: 2
Source: RefSeq, a predicted model, not a curated record
UAUUAUUUUAAAAAUAAACAAGAAUUUAAAUAUUUACAUUUCUUUAAAGAUUUUAUAUGAUAAAAAUUUGAAAUAAAAACAUUAAUCUUAGAGUCUUAUUAUAUAUAUUUUUUAACAUCAUUUAAUAAAUAUGGUGCAAUGCUCAAUGGUUCAAAGGCUUCAAACUCUGAGAUCCGUCCAACCCUCAAAGAAGUAAUGUUUUGCCUCUAUUUAGUCCUAGUCCCAGUCCCACAUCGGAAGCGCAUGAAUUCUAUGUGCUCUAAGUGCCCUAUAAAUACCUUCAACAUCCAAGCCAAACGUGCCAACAAAUUGGGCCUGGAAACAUGGCCCAAAUUUAAGUUUUAUAAGCUUGUCAUUGGAUUGGGCCUAGUGGCUUGGACCAAAUUUAAUUAGUUUUAGUUUUGAAAGUAUUGGGCAUGGAAAUGUGCCUGAUGGAUAAUGGGCCUUUUAAUAGUUAACAAAUUUUUGUAACAAUUAUGGUCUGACCGGUUUGUAAAAAACCGAACGGUUUGUUCGGUUUGGUGGUUCAACUGUCGGUUUGAACGGUUCAAUACCGAUUUAACCACGAAACGGUUUAUUGAGAUGGACCGAACCAGAAAGUUCACGGUCGACGGUUCGACCAGUUGGACCGGCCGGUCCGGUCUCCUUUUUAAAACAAUGGUCACCUUUGUGAAUAAUCAAUUUGACUUGCCCAGUAUGGAGGAGAUACAUAGUUUAUUUUUGAGGUACGAGUUUCGACUUGAGCAACAACAUACAGUUAUGCAAGCCAACAAUGUUUAGAUUCAAGCUCAUACUACUCAGACUCAAUUGACUGCUUCUCAUUAUAACAAGAAACACUUCAAACACCCAUCCCACUUCUCCAAUUCAACACCCCAUUUCUCUAUUCCUGCUACUCUUGCUACGAAUUCCUUUCACCCAAGUAUCUUAGGUAGACCUCAAGGAAAUCCGCUUGUUUGCAAUUGGCUAUUGAAACUUGUUAAUUCUUUGAAUGGUCCAAAACCACAGUGUCAAAUCUGUGGCAAAUCUGGCUAUACUGCUCUUGUUUGCUACCAUAGAGGAAACCUUCAUUAUCAGCCUCCAUCUCCAAAGAAUUUUAAUACUACCUUCACUUUUGAUUCCCCACUUCCAACAUCCUCUCUUGUGCCUAGUUCUUUUGAUACAACUUCUCCUGUAAGGGAUCCCUCCUGGUUCAUGGAUUUUGGAGCCACACAUCAUUUUACUCCAGAUAUCUCCAUGAUACAAAAUCCAACUCCAUUUAUUGGCAAUGAACAGGUUAUGGUUGGCAAUGGUAAGAAAAUUCCCAUCUCUCAUUCUGCCAAUUCUCUUUUAUCUUUCUCCUCUUCUUCUCCUCUCAAAUUGAAUGACAUUUUGUAUGCUCCUACUCUUUCAAACAAUCUUUUAAGCGUGUCCAGACUUUAUGCUGAUAACACUGCAUUUGUAGAAUUCUAUCUUGACUUCUUUCUUGUGAAAGAUCAGGUCUCGAAGAAGGUUCUUCUGCAGGGCCAGCUUGUUAAUGGUCUUUAUUAAGUCUCUUCAGCUUCAAAGUCUCGUACAUCAAAUCUCUCCAAAGUCUUCCUCUCCAGCACUUAAGAAGCAAACCUAUGACACCAUUGUUUAGGACAUUCCAAUUCCAAGAUUGUCAAAAGAGUUUUAAAUCUUUGCAAUUCCAGUAUCAUACAUUUUGAUGUGGAUUUCUGUAAUUCUUGUUAGUUUGCUAAAAGCCACAAGCUUCCAUUUGUAAACUUUGAUUCUAGAGCUAAGUUUUCUUUUGAGUUAAUACAUUAUGAUCUUUGGGGUCUUUCCCCUAUUUAUUCUGUGAGUGAUGUUUUUUUGCUAUUUAUUGAUGAUUACUCCCGUUUUAGCUGGUUGUACCUACUUAAAACUAAAGAUGAGGCGUUGUCCAUUUUUCUUCAGUUCAAAAACCUUGUGGAAAACCAAUUUGAUGCUAAGAUAAAAAUAUUACAAACCGAUUGGGGAGGGGAGGGUAGAUUUGUCUCCACUUUCUUGGCUUCUCGUGGUAUCUCUCAUCGAGUCUCUUGUCCUUAUACUCUCCAACAAAAUGGGUGAGUUGAGAGAAAAAAUCGUCAUGUUGUUGAAAUGGGAUUAACUAUGCUGGUUCAUUCUAGAGUACCUAUGUCAUAUCGGCCAUUUGCGUUUCAGUCUACUGUUCAUAUCAUCAAUAGGCUUCCUACAUCUAUUCUUAACUUCAAAAGCCCCUUUGAGAUCAUUUUUUUAGGAAAUUCCUGAUUACAAUUCCUUCAAAAUUUUGGUUCUGCAUAUUUUCCUUGCUUUUGAUCGUAUAACUCUCAUAAGUUGUAACCAUGAUCAACUGAGUGUGUUUUUUGGGGUAACGGUUCCUAGCAUAAGGGUUUCUUGUGUCUUGAUGUUUCUACAAGUCACAUUAAUGUUUCAAGACAUGUUGUAUUUAAUGAAUUGGACUUUCCUUUCAAAAAGCUUUAGUCCACAUCUUCCCCUUCUAUUAUCUCUUAUUGUAUAACUAUUCAUUUUUUUUUUUUUCCUGCUUCUUCUUUUCCUUCUACCACCAGUCCACAAUCCUCAUCUACAUCCUUCCAAACUGGACCACUUUCUCCUACUACCCCUUUUUUUGUUUCCUAUUCCAAGUUACCUAGUGACCAUCAGUCUAGCCCACAUUCCAUUCCCUUAAAUUCUUCUUCAUCUUCUACCAAUUCCAACUUCCUUCCAAAUUAUGAUUCUUCUCCCCUUCUUCCUCCUCCUCCUCUUUUCCCUUCUUCUGUUGUAUCACCAUUGUGUCCUUCUGAUACAUCCAUUUCACCACAAAGUCCCAUCAUCCAUCGGUCUCCUACUUCCUCCAACAUUCAUCCCAUGUUCACCAGGUCUAAACAUGGUAUUCAUAAGCCCACAUUAUAUAACCUCUCCACUUUAGCUACCUCAAAUUCCAUUCUGACUGAGCCUACCACUUACCAACAGGAUUCUCAACAUUCUGUGUGGCAAUAGGCAAUGUAAGCUGAGUUUGAUGCCUUGCAGGCUAAUGACACUUUGUCCCUUGUACCUGCUCCACCUCAUUGCAAACCCAUUGGCUGUAAAUGGGUAUACAAGGUUAAACUCAAACCAGAUGGCAGUCUUGAGAGACAUAAGGCUUGAUUGGUUGCUAAGGGUUAUUCCCAAACUGCUGGAUUGGAUUAUUUUGAGACCUUUAGUCCAAUGGCCACAAUUCGGAUUGUUCUUACUUUGGCCAUGUCUAAGAAUUGGCUCGUUAAGCGAUUGGAUGUGCAUAGUGCUUUCCUACAUGGUGAAUUAGGGGAAGAUGUGAUUAUGGUGCAACCUCCCCGCUGUGUUCACUCAAAUAAUCCAUUUUAUGUCUAUAAGUUUCCAAAGGCUCUUUAUGGUCUUAAGCAAACACCACGGGCUGGGUAUACUAAACUUAGUUCCUCAUUGACUUGUUGGGGUUUCAAACAGUCUCAAGGUGAUUCCUCCAUGUUUAUUUUUCACUCUGGUGCAAAUAUGCCGAUUGUUUUGAUUUAUGUGGAUGACAUAUUGCUUACAAGAACUAAUUCUCAACUAAUAACUAAUCCGAUUUCCACUCUUCACUCUCAGUCUACACUCAAAGAUCUUGGAGAUCUAUAUUUUUUUCUUGGUAUUGAAGCUCAUUGAACAAAAAAUUCUUUGCAUCUUAGUCAGGCCAACCUCUUGAGGAUCCUACUCUCUACUGUAGUGUGGUUAGAGCUCUUCAAUAUUGCACCCUUACUUGUCCGGAUAUUUGUUUUACGGUAAACAAGGUUUGUCAAUUUAUGCAUUGUCCUACCAAUGUGCAUUGGCAAACAGUGAAACGAAUUCUUCGGUAUUUACAUGGCAUUGUUUCCCAUGGCCUCUCCAUUGCUGCUUCAUCAGAUCUCUCCUUAACAUGUUAUACUGAUGCUGAUUGGGCCUCAUGCCUUGAUGAUAGGAGGGGUACUAGUGGCUAUUGCACAUUACUUGGUUCAAGCUUGAUCUCUUGGAGCUCCUUCAAACAGAAAGUGUUUUCUCGUUCAAGCUCAAAAUUUGAGUAUAGAGGAUUAGCUAAUGCUGCUACUGAAUUAACUUGGGUGGAGUCUCUUCUUCAUGAAUUGUAGAUCCCAUUUUCUCCUCCACCAUUGCUGUUUUGUGACAACAUUAGUGCCUGUUACCUUAUUGUUAAUCCCAUUCUACAUUCUUGGACAAAACAUGUGGAGAUUGACUAUCAUUUUGUUCAUGAAAAGGUCUCCAAUGGCUCCUUGGCUGUUCACUUCACUCCUUUUGAAUCCCAGCUUGUUGAUAUAAUGACUAAAGCACUACCUACUUAGCGAUUUCUUGCAUUGCACAGCAAGCUCAUGGUUCUCCCAAGACCUGUGAUCUUGAGGGGGGAUGUCAGAACUAAUAAUGUAUUACUUAGUGGGGUUUAGUUAUAUGAUAUUCUCACAUGACACCUGUACAAAUGUGUGAGCUCUCUUUGUCUUGUAGUGUAAGAUAUCUCUCUCUCUCUCUGUAAUAGCCCUCUGAUACGGUUAACAAAAUACAAAGAAAAAUUCCUUUCUGCA